UAUGAGGCUGAAAAGCUGUUGAAAACUUUAAAAGAACACUUUUCACAACAACAACACCAGACAUCUGAAAAUGAUAAUGAUGCAGCCACCGCGGAUGCGCACACUACAACGUUUGUGACCGAGCGCCGGGGAAAAGGCCGCACUGCUAAGAGAAAGCUCAGUGGCUCCACAUCUGUCACUGCUCAGUAUGAAGAAAAGCCGGCACAAGAGGAGGGCCGAAGGGGCUCCAAGAGGAGGAAGGCGUCCUCACCCAAGGACACAGAGACACCAGUUCCA
Molecule: long non-coding RNA, 276 nt
Organism: Sinocyclocheilus grahami
Lineage: Eukaryota; Metazoa; Chordata; Actinopteri; Cypriniformes; Cyprinidae
Exons: 3
Source: RefSeq, a predicted model, not a curated record